RNAcentral lists this long non-coding RNA (1733 nucleotides) under Homo sapiens (human). RNAcentral's name for it is "HSALNT0346259". Lineage: Eukaryota; Metazoa; Chordata; Mammalia; Primates; Hominidae. The record is from RNAcentral.
AUUCCAGGCUGUGGAUCCGGUCGUGGGAAGCAGGGCCGCACACAUACAGAGCUGAACUUGUAUCGCCGUGUAGAUGAAGACAAACACCUUUAGGAGAUGGCAGAGAAACAAAAUGGGAAACCCUCAGGUCUCCAAAUGACUACACCAAGCAGAAUUGCCCCACCAGCCUGCACCAUUCAUUUCUAGACUAUGAGCAAGAAGUACACUUCCAUCUUAUUUAAACAACCAUAUUUGGGGUUUUUGUUGUUGUUAUUGUUGUUGUUAUAGGAGCUUAGCUUUUACUCUAAGAAAUACAGCUACUCAACUCACUUCAUUAGGAUCUUAACUAUAAUAUCAAAACCUCCUAAGCACAGAAUAAAAAAUACAGUAGAGCAAUAUCAUUUAUGAUCAUAGAUGCAGAGCUUCCAAAUGAAAUACUAGCAUAUUCAAGGAAAGAUAUAUAUACCAUGACCUAGUUGUGUUUAAUUUCUGGAAUUCAAAAAUGGAAUGUUUGACAUAAGAAAAUCUAUUAGGCCGGGCGCGGUGGCUCACGCCUGUAAUCCCAGCACUUUGGGAGGCCGAGGCAGGCAGAUCACGAGGUCAGGAGAUCGAGAUCAUCCUGGCUAAUACGGUGAAACCCCGUUUCUACUAAAAAAUACAAAAAAAAAAUAUUAGCUGGGAGUGGUGGCGGGCGCCUGUAGUCCCAGCUACUUGGGAGGCUGAGGCAGGAGAAUGGCGUGAACCCGGGAGGCAGAGCUUACAGUGAGCUGAGAUCGUGCCACUGCACUCCAGCCUGGGUGACAGAGCGAGACUCUGUCUCAAAAAAAAAAAAAAAAAGAAAAAAGAAAACAGUUUGGCAGUUCCUCAAAAAGUUAAACAUAGGAUGUUUGAAAAUUUAAACGUAAUAUGACCUAGCAAUUCAACCCCAGGUAUACAACCAAGAGAAUUGAAAACAGGUGUUCAAACAAAAACUUGUACAGGAUUGCUCAUAGCAGCAUUAUUUAUAAUAGCCAAAAGGAAGAAACUACUCAAAUGUCCAUCAGCUGAUGAAUGGAUAAACAAAAUAUGGUGUAUUUCUACAAUGGACUAUUAUUCAAUCAUAAAAAAUGAAAUGCUGAUAAAUGCCAAAAUUGACGAACUUUUAAAACAUGCUAAGUGGCUGGGUGGGGUGGCUCUAGUCCGUAAUCCCGGCAUGUUAAGAGGCCGAGGUGGGCGGGUCACUUGAGCCUGGGAGGUCGAGGCUGCAGAGAGCUGAGAUCGCGCUACUGCACUCUAGCCUGGGUGACAGAGCAGACCCUGUCUCAGAAAGAAAAGAAAAAACAGAAAAGAGAAAGAAGACAGGAGAGGAGAGAAGGGGAGGGGAGGGGAGGGGAAUGGAGAGGGGGAGGGGAGGGGAGGGGAAGGGGGAGGGAAGGGGAGGGGAGGGGAACAUCCUGGCCGGGUGCAGUGGCUCACGCCUGUAAUCCUAGCACUUUGGGAGGCCAAGGUGGGCGGAUUGCCUGAGCUCAGGAGUUCGAGACCAGCCUGGGCAACACGGUGAAACCCCGUCUCUACUAAAAUACAAAAAAAUUAGUUGGGCGUGGCGAUGUAUACCUGUAGUCCCAGCUACUCAGGAUGCUGAGGCAGAAGAAUUGCUUGAACCCAGGAGGUUGAGGUUGCAGUGACGCGAGAUUGCACCACUGCACUCCAGCCUGGGUGACAGAGUGAGACUCUCUCCCAAAAAAAAAAAAAAAGAAAAGAAAAGAAAAGAACAU